This 253-nucleotide ribosomal RNA is filed under the name uncultured bacterium. Its description in RNAcentral is "partial 16S ribosomal RNA". It matches the Rfam family "Bacterial small subunit ribosomal RNA", at positions 524 to 776 of the family's 1533-position model. The record is from RNAcentral.
UACAGAGGUCUCAAGCGUUGUUCGGAUUCAUUGGGCGUAAAGGGUGCGUAGGCGGCGCGGUAAGUCGGGUGUGAAAUCUUGGAGCUUAACUCCGAAACUGCAUUCGAUACUGCCUUGCUCGAGGACUCGAGAGGAGAUUGGAAUUCACGGUGUAGCAGUGAAAUGCGUAGAUAUCGUGAGGAAGACCAGUGGCGAAGGCGGAUCUCUGGAGAGUUCCUGACGCUGAGGCACGAAGGCCAGGGGAGCAAACGGG